Syngnathoides biaculeatus (alligator pipefish) is the source of this 1272-nucleotide long non-coding RNA. RefSeq lists it as uncharacterized. NCBI's taxonomy places the organism in Eukaryota, Metazoa, Chordata, Actinopteri, Syngnathiformes, Syngnathidae. The record is from RefSeq and is a predicted model, not a curated record. The transcript is spliced from 3 exons.
GUCACGUGUGUGUGUGUAUUUAGUCUUUGUUCAUUAAUUCAUUCGUCCAUUCACAUUUCUCAAUCAACAACAGUGAGGGGGAAAAAGAUGGCCAACCUUUUGUAAUGUGGUGAAUGGAUUCAUAUUGGAGCCAUUUAAGAGGUGUGCAAUGCACGCGACACCCAGAGCCGUCCAAGAAAGACGCCGCGUGAGUGCGCGAGCUGGUCUGUGUCGUUAUUUGAACGCUUGCUGUUAACGAAGACCCUCAUUUAAAGUCGGGCAGGGCCGCCCUGUCGUCUGCGCACACAAACGCGCAACUACACGCUUAAUGCGACAUUCCAGGCGCGCGUCGCCUCCGGUUGUCCGACCUGAUGCUGUUGCUCGCCAAUCAAACGUCAGAGGCGUGAGUACAAACUGUUGAGGUGAGCGGUGUGAGAAGAAAACCACAUCUCCCGUGAUCCUCUUCGUGAAGAGCGCAGGGACUCAUGGGAGAGGAGCAUGCGCAGUGCAGGAAUCUCACCCUCACCGGCGCUAAACUUCAACUUUUUGGAACGUCCUGCAGACUUUCAAUCGACGAGAUUUAAAAUUUCAAUGAACACGCACCAUGCGGACAUUUUGCAUCUUAACACAACACCACAAGAUAGCACUGGAGAUGAGUCGAAUCGGCAAUUGUGAACCCUCAAAGGAAUUGUUGAUCAAAUGAGUCGCUACACCCUGAUUAUAAUCUACCAAUUUUCCAUCCUUCCAUCCAUCCAUUCAUUUUCUGAGCCACUUAUCCUCACGAGGGUCGCUGGAGCCUCUGGCAGCUGUCAUCGGGCAGCACCCUGAACUGGUCGCCAGGCGAUCACAGGGCACAGAGAGACAAACGACGACGGUAUUCUCACACUUACGGGCAAUUCACAGUCUGCAUUUCAUGCAUGUUUUUUGGGGGGGGACGUGGGAGGAAACCGAAGUGCCCACCCGGAGAAAAGCCACGUCGGCACGGGGAAAAUGUGCAAACUCCACACAGCCGGGGGCCAGGAUUUGAACCCCGUUCCUCAGAACCGGGCGGCAGAUGCGCGAACCAGUUGCCCCACCGUGCUACCAUCUCAUAAAUACAAAAUAUUAACCAUUAAAAGAAACAUCCUUAAAAAACUUCCCAAAAAUACACGUAUAUGAGGUGAAGAUGCACAAAUAUUAGAAAAAUGCGCAAAUAUUCAUACAAAAUAUAUUUUCUGUUCAUUAUGAAAAAAGACAAAUACAUUUUUAGAUGAUCAUCCAAAAUACAAAAACACUCAUUGGGGGGAGAGAAAA